Molecule: ribosomal RNA, 406 nt
Filed under: uncultured bacterium
Lineage: Bacteria
Description: partial 16S ribosomal RNA
Rfam family: Bacterial small subunit ribosomal RNA
Source: RNAcentral
AUCGAACGCUGGCGGCAUGCCUAACACAUGCAAGUCGAACGAGUGGCGGACGGGUGAGCCAUGUCUGAGCAACUGCCUCAUCGAGGCGGAUCACCACGGGAAACGGUAGCUACUACCGCAUUCCAUCAGAUGUGCCCAGAUGGGGUUAGCUUGUUGGUGGGGUAACGGCUCACCUAGGCGACGAUGCCUAGCUGGUCGUAGAGGAUGACCAGCCACACUGGAACUGAGACAGUGCACAGACUCCUACGGGAGGCAGCAGUAGGGAAUAGUGAACAAUGGGCGCAAGCCUGAUGCAGCCAUGCCGCGUGUGUGAAGAAGGCCUUCGGGUUGUAAAGGACUUUCGGCGGGGAGGCUUUAUCCGGAGAGGAAGCACCGGCUGACUCCGUGCCAGCAGCCGCGGUAAUAC